This 292-nucleotide ribosomal RNA is filed under the name uncultured bacterium. Its description in RNAcentral is "partial 16S ribosomal RNA". It matches the Rfam family "Bacterial small subunit ribosomal RNA", at positions 773 to 1060 of the family's 1533-position model. The record is from RNAcentral.
GUGGAUUAGAUACCCUGGUAGUCCACGCCGUAAACGAUGGAUGCUAGAUGUUUCUGGUAUUGACCCCGGAGGCGUCGUAGCUAACGCGUUAAGCAUCCCGCCUGGGGAGUACGGCCGCAAGGCUAAAACUCAAAGGAAUUGACGGGGGCCCGCACAAGCGGUGGAGCAUGUGGUUCAAUUCGACGCAACGCGAAGAACCUUACCUGGGUUGGAACCCCCCGGAACCUUCCAGAGAUGGAGGGGUGCCCGCAAGGGAACCGGGUGUCCAGGUGCUGCACGGCUGUCGUCAGCU